UAGGGAAUCUUCGGCAAUGGGGGCAACCCUGACCGAGCAACGCCGCGUGAGUGAAGAAGGUUUUCGGAUCGUAAAGCUCUGUUGUAAGUCAAGAACGAGUGUGAGAGUGGAAAGUUCACGCUGUGACGGUAGCUUACCAGAAAGGGACGGCUAACUACGUGCCAGCAGCCGCGGUAAUACGUAGGUCCCGAGCGUUGUCCGGAUUUAUUGGGCGUAAAGCGAGCGCAGGCGGUUUGAUAAGUCUGAAGUUAAAGGCUGUGGCUCAACCAUAGUUCGCUUUGGAAACUGUCAAACUUGAGUGCAGAAGGGGAGAGUGGAAUUCCAUGUGUAGCGGUGAAAUGCGUAGAUAUAUGGAGGAACACCGGUGGCGAAAGCGGCUCUCUGGUCUGUAACUGACGCUGAGGCUCGAAAGCGUGGGGAGCAAACAGGAUUAGAUACCCUGGUAGUCCACGCCGUAAACGAUGAGUGCUAGGUGUUAGGCCCUUUCCGGGGCUUAGUGCCGCAGCUAACGCAUUAAGCACUCCGCCUGGGGAGUACGACCGCAAGGUUG
RNAcentral lists this ribosomal RNA (550 nucleotides) under uncultured bacterium. RNAcentral describes it as "bacterial SSU rRNA". It matches the Rfam family "Bacterial small subunit ribosomal RNA", at positions 355 to 896 of the family's 1533-position model. The record is from RNAcentral.